RNAcentral lists this unclassified non-coding RNA (378 nucleotides) under plant metagenome. Its description in RNAcentral is "partial contains 5.8S ribosomal RNA, internal transcribed spacer 2, and large subunit ribosomal RNA". The stretch from base 1 to 105 matches the Rfam family "5.8S ribosomal RNA", at positions 50 to 154 of the family's 154-position model. The record is from RNAcentral.
GAAAUGCGAUAAGUAAUGUGAAUUGCAGAAUUCAGUGAAUCAUCGAAUCUUUGAACGCACCUUGCGCUCCUUGGUAUUCCUUGGAGCAUGCCUGUUUGAGUAUCAUGAAAUCUUCAAAGUAAAUCUUUUGUUAACUCAAUUGGUUUCUACUUUGGUAUUGGAGGUCUUUGCAGCUUCACACCUGCUCCUCUUUGUUCAUUAGCUGGAUCUCAGUGUUAUGCUUGGUUCCACUCGGCGUGAUAAGUUAUCUAUCGCUGAGGACACUGUAAAAGGUGGCCAAGGUAAAUGCAGAUGAACCGCUUCUAAUAGUCCAUUGACUUGGACAAUACUUUUAUGAUCUGAUCUCAAAUCAGGUAGUACUACCCGCUGAAUUUAAGC